GAGCUUGCUCUCUUGGUGGCGAGUGGCGGACGGGUGAGUAAUAUAUCGGAACGUGCCCAGUAGCGGGGGAUAACUACUCGAAAGAGUGGCUAAUACCGCAUACGCCCUACGGGGGAAAGGGGGGGAUCGCAAGACCUCUCACUAUUGGAGCGGCCGAUAUCGGAUUAGCUAGUUGGUGGGGUAAAGGCUCACCAAGGCAACGAUCCGUAGCUGGUUUGAGAGGACGACCAGCCACACUGGGACUGAGACACGGCCCAGACUCCUACGGGAGGCAGCAGUGGGGAAUUUUGGACAAUGGGGGAAACCCUGAUCCAGCCAUCCCGCGUGUAUGAUGAAGGCCUUCGGGUUGUAAAGUACUUUUGGCAGAGAAGAAAAGGCAUCCCCUAAUACGGGAUGCUGCUGACGGUAUCUGCAGAAUAAGCACCGGCUAACUACGUGCCAGCAGCCGCGGUAAUACGUAGGGUGCAAGCGUUAAUCGGAAUUACUGGGCGUAAAGCGUGUGUAGGCGGUUCGGAAAGAAAGAUGUGAAAUCCCAGGGCUCAACCUUGGAACUGCAUUUUUAACUGCCGAGCUAGAGUAUGUCAGAGGGGGGUAGAAUUCCACGUGUAGCAGUGAAAUGCGUAGAUAUGUGGAGGAAUACCGAUGGCGAAGGCAGCCCCCUGGGAUAAUACUGACGCUCAGACACGAAA
This 689-nucleotide ribosomal RNA is filed under the name Alcaligenes sp. 3T3-4. Its description in RNAcentral is "bacterial SSU rRNA". It matches the Rfam family "Bacterial small subunit ribosomal RNA", at positions 76 to 758 of the family's 1533-position model. Lineage: Bacteria; Pseudomonadati; Pseudomonadota; Betaproteobacteria; Burkholderiales; Alcaligenaceae. The record is from RNAcentral.